RNAcentral lists this long non-coding RNA (465 nucleotides) under Linum usitatissimum (flax). Its description in RNAcentral is "long non-coding RNA (LUSI_LNC001652)". Lineage: Eukaryota; Viridiplantae; Streptophyta; Magnoliopsida; Malpighiales; Linaceae. The record is from RNAcentral.
GAGAAAGGAUCAUAGUUACCUUGAGACGGUGAGUGAAAGGAGAAACGGAAGGAGAUGCAGCAGAGAGCACCGCGGAAGCCAUCUGAAGGUUUGAAAGAAAUGAGAUAAAUCUGUGCAGGGCGGCAGCUACAGAAGGAAAGGAAAAAUAAAAUUGAUUGAUUCUCCGGACAGAUCACAGAAGUAAUGAGAUUUCGUUACAGAUCAAGAAUCCAGACAGGACAAUAGAAUUGGGAAGGCAACAGGGAAGCGAAAGAGAAGAAAGAAGAUUAUGGUAGAGAAAGAGCAGACGAGGAGAUUACCAGCGACUGCGUGAGUGUUUCUUUUCCUCGCUCUCUCUAUAGUGUUUUGGGAAAUGGCGAUGACUAGUGAUGAGCUGUUGCUGGUUGUUGAGCUCUAGCUGUUAGCUUGAAACUAAAAAUGUAAAAAAGGAGGCGGAAAAUAUGAUGUUGAUUAGAAAUGGGCGAU